UCAUUAUUGAAUAAACUUGGUUGGGUUGUUGCUGGCUUUUCGGAGCAUGUGCACGCCUAGCGCCAUUUUUACCACCUGUGCACUUCUUGUAGAUUUGAGACACCUCUCGAGGGAACUCGGUUUGAGGACUGCUGUGCGCAAGCUAAGCUUUCCUUGCGUUUCAGGUCUAUGUUUUUAUAUACCCCAUAAGAAUGUUUUAGAAUGUCAUUAAUGGGCUUCAUUGCCUCUAAAUUAAUACAACUUUCAACAACGGAUCUCUUGGCUCUCGCAUCGAUGAAGAACGCAGCGAAAUGCGAUAAGUAAUGUGAAUUGCAGAAUUCAGUGAAUCAUCGAAUCUUUGAACGCACCUUGCGCUCCUUGGUAUUCCGAGGAGCAUGCCUGUUUGAGUGUCAUUAAAUUCUCAACCUUUUCAGCUUUUGCGAGCUGGAUUGGCUUGGAUAUGGGGGUUUGCGGGCUUCUCAGAAGUCGGCUCCUCUUAAAUACAUUAGCGGAACCUUUGUGGACCAGCUUUGGUGUGAUAAUUAUCUACGCCAUGGUUGUGAAGCAGCUUUAUAUGGGGUUCAGCUUCUAACCGUCCAUUGACUUGGACAAUUUCUGACAUUUGACCUCAAAUCAGGUAGGACUACCCAGU
This 631-nucleotide ribosomal RNA is filed under the name Collybia odora. RNAcentral describes it as "eukaryotic LSU rRNA". The stretch from base 239 to 392 matches the Rfam family "5.8S ribosomal RNA". Lineage: Eukaryota; Fungi; Basidiomycota; Agaricomycetes; Agaricales; Clitocybaceae. The record is from RNAcentral.